RNAcentral lists this long non-coding RNA (725 nucleotides) under Coturnix japonica (Japanese quail). RNAcentral's name for it is "lncRNA (ENSCJPG00005012075.1)". The record is from RNAcentral. Lineage: Eukaryota; Metazoa; Chordata; Aves; Galliformes; Phasianidae.
UACCGAUGGGAAGCUUUCUGGUCUCCUGUCUAUGGACACAUUGCUGUGAAGAUGUUCAGAAGGGAGACUCUGCUAGUGUGCAUUUCUCAUUUAGUUUCCAUGUAAUCUGACUGCUUUUCUGCUCCCCGGUCCUACCUGUGGAUCAAAAAGUAAUAAUACCAUUUCCCAAUAGACAGCACCACCUCUUUCACCGAAUUUUUAAUUAUUAUUAUCUUUAUUUUUUUGUGGUUAAUGCAACAGAAAUUGCAACUGAGCUGCAGGACAAGAGCUUAGCAGCCCUAGAAGACACCAGCUCUGGCCUCACUGGAGCCAGACACAAGAGCUCAGCAAGCAUGGAUCAAAGCAUGCAGCAACUCUGCAUUUGAAGGUGGACCAAGAAAACGGUACCAGGCUCAUCUACCACAGCUGGGAAGGAACUGAAGCCACUCUCAGCAACUGUGUUCUCCCCCACUCCUCCCUAUCUGCAGCAAGAAGACUCCUUUAAUUCCCUUUGCCUGGACGCACAUCUGGGCAGAAAAGGCAGAGUGACUGAUCCAGGUUGGGAUGUAUUACUGUUUUGCACAGAAAUCAAUCCUGCCUCGCUACAAAUGUGAAAGGGCUACCUGAGAUGACACUGAAAAAUACUAACAAUACAUUUACUUCAAAGGAGAUCAAAGCAGAAGAGACAGUUCUGGGGAAUAACGUGAGCAGAAUGUUUUCUGAAUGGUCACUGCACCUGAUCUUCC